This 3534-nucleotide ribosomal RNA is filed under the name Plenodomus biglobosus/Leptosphaeria biglobosa 'brassicae' group. RNAcentral's name for it is "eukaryotic LSU rRNA". It matches the Rfam family "Eukaryotic large subunit ribosomal RNA". Lineage: Eukaryota; Fungi; Ascomycota; Dothideomycetes; Pleosporales; Leptosphaeriaceae. The record is from RNAcentral.
ACUUUUAAUAACAGAUCUCUUAGUUCUAGCAUUAAUAAAGAACGCAGCGAAAUGCGAUAAGUAGUGUGAAUUGUAGAAUUUAGUAAAUUAUUAAAUCUUUAAACGCACAUUACGCCCCUUAGUAUUCUAUAGGGCAUGCCUGUUUAAGCGUUAUUUGUACCCUUAAGCUCUGCUUGGUGUUAGGUGUUUGUUCUACUUAGGACUUGCCUUAAAACAAUUGGCAGCUAGCACAUUGGCCUAGAGCGCAGCACAUUUUACGCCUCUUGUUAUAGUUGUUAGCAUCUAUUAAGACACUUUUUAAGCUCUUAACCUUAGAUUAGGUAGGGAUACCCGCUGAACUUAAGCAUAUUAAUAAGCGGAGGAAAAGAAACUAAUAGGGAUUGCCCUAGUAACAGCGAGUGAAGCGGCAAUAGCUUAAAUUUAAAAUCUAGCUCUUUUAGGGUCUGAGUUGUAAUUUGCAGAGGGCGCUUUAGCGUUAGUAGCGGUCCAAGUUCCUUAGAACAGGACGUUACAGAGGGUAAGAAUCCUGUACGUAGUUGCUGGCCUUCGCCGUGUAAAGCCCCUUUAACGAGUUAAGUUAUUUAGGAAUGUAGCUCUAAAUAGGAGGUAAAUUUCUUCUAAAGCUAAAUACUAGCUAGAGACUAAUAGCGCACAAGUAGAGUAAUUAAAAGAUAAAAAGCACUUUAGAAAGAGAGUUAAAUAGCACGUGAAAUUGUUAAAAGGGAAGCGCUUGCAGCUAGACUUGCCUGUAGUUACUUAUCUAGGCUUUUGUCUAGUGCACUCUUCUAUAGGCAGGCUAGUAUUAGUUUAGGCAGUUAGAUAAAGGUCUCUAUUACGUACCUCCCUUUAGGGAGGCCUUAUAGGGGAGACGACAUGUAACUAGCCUAGACUAAGGUCCGCGCAUCUGCUAGGAUGCUGGCGUAAUAGCUAUAAGCGGCCUGUCUUGAAACAUAGACUAAGGAGUCUAACAUCUAUGCAAGUGUUUAGGUGUUAAGCCUAGACGCGUAAUAAAAGUGAAUAGAGGUAGGACCCCUUUUAGGGUGCACUAUUAACCAAUCCUAAUAUCUUUAGAAGGAUUUAAGUAAGAGCAUAGCUAUUAGGACCUAAAAGAUAGUGAACUAUGCUUAAAUAGGGUGAAGCUAGAGGAAACUCUAGUAGAGGCUCGCAGCGGUUCUAACGUGCAAAUUAAUUGUUAAAUUUAGGCAUAGGGGCGAAAGACUAAUUAAACUAUCUAGUAGCUAGUUCCUACCAAAGUUUCCCUUAGGAUAGUAGUAACGUAUUUAGUUUUAUAAGGUAAAGUGAAUAAUUAGAGGCCUAGGGGUUAAAAUAACCUUUACCUAUUCUUAAACUUUAAAUAUGUAAGAAGUCCUUGUUACUUAAUUAAACGUGGACACUUAAAUGUACUGUUACUAGUAGGCCAUUUUUGGUAAGCAGAACUAGCGAUGCGGGAUAAACCAAACGCGGGGUUAAGGUGCUAGAAUGCACGCUUAUUAGACACCACAAAAGGUGUUAGUUUAUCUAGACAGCAGGACGGUAGCUAUGGAAGUUAGAAUCUGCUAAGGAGUGUGUAAUAACUUACCUGCUAAAUAAACUAGCCCUAAAAAUAGAUAGCGCUUAAGCGUGUUACCUAUACCCCGCCGCCGGGGCAAGAUUUAAGCCCUAGCGAGUAGGCAGGCGUAGAGGCUUAUAACAAAGCCUUAGGGGUAACCCUAGGUAGAACGGCCUCUAGUAUAGAUCUUAGUAGUAGUAGCAAAUACUUAAAUAAGAACUUUAAGGACUAAAGUAGGGAAAGGUUCUGUGUGAAUAGCAGUUAGACACAGGUUAGUUAAUCCUAAGAGAUAGGGUAAUUCUGUUUUAAUGUUGGCGCUUGCGCCGCGCCCUUAAAAGGGAAGCUAGUUAAUAUUCUAGCACCUAGAUAUAGAUUCUCCGCGGCAACGCAACUAAGAGUGGAGACCUUAGCAGGAGCCCUAAGAAGAGUUCUCUUUUCUUCUUAACGGUCUGUUACCCUAAAAUUGGUUUGUCUAGAGCUAGGGUUUAAUGGCUAGAAGAGCGCUGUACUUUUGCGGCGUUUAGUGCGCUCCUAACAAGCCUUAAAAAUCUGCUUAAAGAAAUAGUUUUUACGCUAGGUCGUACUUAUAACCGCAGCAGGUCUCUAAGGUGAAAAGCCUCUAGUUAAUAGAACAAUAUAGAUAAGGGAAGUUAGUAAAAUAGAUCUAUAACUUUAGGAAAAGGAUUAGCUCUAAGGGUUAGGUACGUUAGGCCUUAGGGAGAAGCCUCUAGCGUAGAAGGGCACUAACCGCAAGGUAGGCGCCUCUUAGCGCUAGGGUGUAGACACCCUUAGCAGGUUUUGGCCGUCUAGCGUACGUUUAACAACUAACUUAGAACUAGUAUAGAUAAGGGGAAUCUAACUAUCUAAUUAAAACAUAGCAUUGUAAUAGCUAGAAAGUAGUGUUAAUGCAAUGUAAUUUCUGCCUAGUGCUCUAAAUAUUAAAGCGAAGAGAUUUAACCAAGCGCGGGUAAAUGGCGGGAGUAACUAUAACUCUCUUAAGGUAGCUAAAUGCCUUGUUAUCUAAUUAGUAACGCGCAUAAAUAGAUUAACAAGAUUCCUACUGUCCCUAUCUACUAUCUAGCAAAACCACAGCUAAGGGAACGGGCUUAGCUAAAUUAGUGGGGAAAGAAGACCCUGUUAAGCUUAACUCUAGUUUAACAUUAUAAAAAGAUAUAGGGGGUGUAGAAUAGGUAGGAGCUUUAGCGCUAGUGAAAUACUACUACCCUUAUCGUUUUUUACUUAUUCGAUGAAGCGGAGCUAGGCCUUACUACCUAACUUCUAGCGUUUAAGGUCCUUUGUGGGCUAAUCUAGGUUAAAGAUAUUGUUAGGUAGGGAGUUUGGCUAGGGCGGCACAUCUAUUAAACCAUAACGCAGGUGUCCUAAGGGGGACUUAUAGAGAAUAGAAAUCUCUAGUAGAGCAAAAGGGUAAAAGUCCCCUUAAUUUUGAUUUUUAGUGUGAAUACAAACCAUAAAAGUGUAGCCUAUUAAUCCUUUAGUCCCUUAAAAUUUGAGGCUAGAGGUGCUAGAAAAGUUACCACAGGGAUAACUAGCUUGUGGUAGCCAAGCGUUCAUAGCGACGUUGCUUUUUGAUCCUUCGAUGUCGGCUCUUCCUAUUAUACUAAAGCAGAAUUUAGUAAGCGUUGGAUUGUUCACCCACUAAUAGGGAAUGUGAGCUAGGUUUAGACCAUCAUAAGAUAGGUUAGUUUUACCCUACUAAUGACCUUGCCCCAAUAGUAAUACUGCUUAGUACGAGAGGAACCGCGGUUUUAGAUAAUUGGUUUUUGUGGCUGUCUAACUAGGCAUUGCCGCGAAGCUACCAUCUGCUAGAUUAUGGCUAAACGCCUCUAAGUCAGAAUCUAUGCCAGAACAGGGUAAUUUCCGCCUGCACUAGUUAGAUACAAAUAGGCCUUUGGCCUAGAACCUUACUAGAUCGGCGUUAGCAGCCCUAUUAAAGUUAGAGUUAUUAGCUAGUGUAUUGCAAUUGU